This 468-nucleotide ribosomal RNA is filed under the name uncultured bacterium. RNAcentral's name for it is "partial 16S ribosomal RNA". It matches the Rfam family "Bacterial small subunit ribosomal RNA", at positions 28 to 507 of the family's 1533-position model. The record is from RNAcentral.
GACAAACGCUGGCGGCGUGCUUAACACAUGCAAGUCGAACGGAAAGGCCCUGCUUUUGUGGGGUGCUCGAGUGGCGAACGGGUGAGUAACACGUGAGUAACCUGCCCUUGACUUUGGGAUAACUUCAGGAAACUGGGGCUAAUACCGGAUAGGAGCUCCUGCUGCAUGGUGGGGGUUGGAAAGUUUCGGCGGUUGGGGAUGGACUCGCGGCUUAUCAGCUUGUUGGUGGGGUAGUGGCUUACCAAGGCUUUGACGGGUAGCCGGCCUGAGAGGGUGACCGGCCACAUUGGGACUGAGAUACGGCCCAGACUCCUACGGGAGGCAGCAGUGGGGAAUAUUGCACAAUGGGCGGAAGCCUGAUGCAGCAACGCCGCGUGCGGGAUGACGGCCUUCGGGUUGUAAACCGCUUUCGCCUGUGACGAGGCGUGAGUGACGGUAAUGGGUAAAGAAGCACCGGCUAACUACGUG